This 295-nucleotide ribosomal RNA is filed under the name uncultured bacterium. RNAcentral's name for it is "partial 16S ribosomal RNA". It matches the Rfam family "Bacterial small subunit ribosomal RNA", at positions 775 to 1067 of the family's 1533-position model. The record is from RNAcentral.
GGAUUAGAUACCCUGGUAGUCCACACCGUAAACGAUGUGUGCUAGUUGUCGGGACUUCAGGUCUCGGUGACGCAGCUAACGCAUUAAGCACACCGCCUGGGGAGUACGGCCGCAAGGUUAAAACUCAAAGGAAUUGACGGGGACCCGCACAAGCGGUGGAGCAUGUGGUUUAAUUCGAAGCAACGCGAAGAACCUUACCAGGACUUGACAUCCCGAUCGCGGAUUACAGAGAUGUUUUCCUUCAGUUCGGCUGGAUCGGUGACAGGUGCUGCACGGCUGUCGUCAGCUCGUGCCG